RNAcentral lists this long non-coding RNA (1441 nucleotides) under Phascolarctos cinereus (koala). RNAcentral describes it as "lncRNA (ENSPCIG00000030157.2)". The record is from RNAcentral. Lineage: Eukaryota; Metazoa; Chordata; Mammalia; Diprotodontia; Phascolarctidae.
GCCUCGGUUGCUUCUCCGUCAAAUAGAGAGGGCGCCCCAUGGCCCUUGAGGGCCCUCCCCGUCUAUGGUUCUGGGACCGCACAUGCGAGCAUCCCUUGGGUGCUGAGGGGGCUGGAGGAAAGGGGGCGGGACUGCUGCCAAGCAGCCAAUCAGGGGAGUCCGUGAGAGCCGCGCUGCCUGCCCCUAGCGGUCAAGGCCAGGAGCAGACACGCGAGGCUCGGGAGGCGUGACCUUGGAGGAGGCGUGCUCAUUCUCCGGAAGACCCCGGGAGGGGCGGCAUGGAGGGGAGCAGCUCUCAGGGAGACCUAAAGCCCAAAAAUGUUUUAAAGAAACCCCGGAAAGGCUCUUGGAGAGCAAGCUGGGGCCAGCAUGAAAUCAAACUGCUGCUAGAGGCCAUCUUCAAGACGGGCAAAGUCCACCAGAUCAUUUCGGGAAACAGUCAGAGAAAGAGCAAGCUCUGGAGAGAGGUCACUGAGACUCUGGCCAAGCGCCAUGUGGGCUACACGGCCGAGCAGUGCCGCACCAAGUGGAAGCACCUCAAGACCCAGUUCCGCUUUGAACAGGCUCGUUACCUGACGACAGGAGCCCACUCAGACCCUCUGCCGCACUUCUAUGAGGAAAUGAGCAACCUCUGGAAGAUGGCGGCCAGGUGCUCACCAAAGGCUGGGCCCUCAAAAUGGCCAAAACAACCUACCAAAGCAAAGACAGCCCUGCAACUCCAGAGGCAGAAUAAGGAAGAGGAAAUGCCUGCUCCACUCCCUGUGAAGCCUUCUGGCCCAGACCAGCCAGAAGUGUUACCUGGAACAUGGUCACAGCCUCCACAGGCAGUGACUCCCAUCACAGAGCAUCAGUCCAACGACAGUGAAACCAGUGAUGCGCCCAAAGAAGUGGAUGGAUGUGCAGCAAAUCAAGCAGCUUUAGGAAGAGAGACACUAGAGGAACCGGCCUUUCAGCAAGAGAAGCCUGAGGUCCCCUGUGACCCCAGAUACCAGCAGAUUGGGGAGACCAUGCUGGAGGAAUUGAGAAACCUGUCCCGAACCCAGCAGGAGAUGUCUGUGGUCAGCAUGUACAUUGCCAAAGCCCUCCAGUACCAGCAAGAACAGCUGAUCCCGGGCAUCCAUCUUCUAAAUCACAACAUGUACCAGCUCUGCCUGCUAUUGGCCAACCAGACGGAGGCCUCCCUCCACUCCGGGCCCUUUCUCCCCGAGAUGAUCAAUCCCAGCAUUGUCUUCUCUGGAUCUCCAGUUCCACAGCCUUAUCCUUCAGACUUUGAGCCUUCCGGUGGUGCCCACCCCAAGUAGGCUUCAGUUCUCUGAGAUGCAGCUCACAUUACCUUGGUUUCUUGGAAUGCAUUCUGUCUAAGUAAAUUUCAUGUGUUCCCCCUGUUUGGAAGGUUUGAGAUAAAGAUUUGGAUUCUAUCCCUCAGACUCUGCCUCUUUCA